UUAAAAAUAAACAAAAACAUUUAAUUAAUUCAGAACUUUAUCCCGUCCCACCACAAUCAAAUACCAAAUAUGUGGGUAGUUUGACAUAUAUUGGACCAAUAUCGGAUAAAAUAGCUAAAAUAUUUAGGAAAAACAAUAUUAAUGUGUCCUUCCGAACGAAUCAAAAUGAGUCUCUUCCCAGAUUUUGGCGAAACAACACGUCCUGAGGAUGCCUCAUGUAGAGGCGAAACACGUGUCGAAUUGUUUUAAAGACGAAUGUUGGCGGAAUUAACACUAAAGAAAACUUAAAUCAUUUGUAUAAUUAUGGAUUUCCGCAAAGUAACGCCUAAUUCAAUAAAAAAGAUGACACUUCACUCAUAUUCUAAGUGAAAAGAGGCCAAUUUUAUAUGACGGAGUAAUUAAUGUUCUAUCUGACAUUGUGUACUGGCUUAACACAAAUAACCUAUUGCUAAUUGUCAAAAAUGUAAAUGCAAACGAAAUUUUUUUAAGCGGAGAAGUGGUACAACCGGUGUAAUCUGCUAUAUUUCUUGGCUCUUGAUUCCAAAUAACAAUGUAAUCCCCAUAUUGAAGGAUUGGCAAAAGGCAAAAUGAGGACACAAUUAACUGACAUAUAAUAUAAAAUAACUUUAGUUAUUUUUCAUAGUAUAAUGUCCCAGGAUAAAUUUUAAUCUUUGUGCUGCAAAGAGGGCUACUCGCGCUAGGUCCUUAAGAAUCGUAAAGAGAAACAUUCCAAGAAAUAAGGAUUUAAACUGUUGCAUCUCUAUAUUAUAUUCUUACAAAUGUUAUAUAUGUUCAUAGAAACUAUAGUAAUUUUGCUGUUAUAACCUUAAUGUUAACACAAACAAAUACUCGCUAACUUCAAGUUCAUAUAAAAUAUCAAAAUCUACCAACCAUUUGAAAAGAUAUGCUAUAAUCCUGAGAAUAAGUGACGCAAGAAACUUAGUAAGUCUCAAUUUAUACAAAAUUGCAUUGCAAUAUAUUCCUUAUUAACCCAGGUGUCGCUCCAUUGAUAAAAAAUAUAUUAUAGAAUACAGUGUUCAUAGAGUACAGAAUAAUUAUUAUGGUCAGCUAAUGUCAAAAUGCCUACAAAUUUGUGAGCCUCACAGAGCUACGGUAUUUAUUUAUAUUUUAUAUCUAAGUUUUAUAUCAUUAGUUUUAUACAGAGUUAUAUUAAAAUGAGAUGACUAUUGCCGCUGUUUUAUUAGCCCUGGCUCUAUUAGUGAACAAGAUAUCUGUUACAUACCAAGAUAAUCUGCUGUUACAACAACACUUCUCAGCAAAACUUGUGUUCCUUUUAAGCGUCUGCCUGUUCUUGCAUAGUUUACGCCUGUUUCACUGCAGUCGCUACGUAAAGAUAUAUCCGCUUUGUUUCGUUGCCGAGGUUCUGACGUCUUUGGUUCUUCUAGAAUUUUCUGAACAAUACAUAUGGGAACCGGUCAAAUUAUACAUACACCGAAACGCAGAUGAUGUCCUGAUUCAAUUGUACAACUAUGAGAGCUUUGACUUCAUAAUAUGUCCCUUGUGUUGCGGCAAACACGACUGCUCCGAGGACUUCACUCGCCUGGCAUUGAAAAUCUGCAGCUUUGGUUCGUUUGCGAUAAUUUGUUUGUUGACUAAAUUACAACUUUAAACAUGGU
Leptidea sinapis is the source of this 1637-nucleotide long non-coding RNA. RefSeq lists it as uncharacterized. NCBI's taxonomy places the organism in Eukaryota, Metazoa, Arthropoda, Insecta, Lepidoptera, Pieridae. The record is from RefSeq and is a predicted model, not a curated record. The transcript is spliced from 3 exons.